GACGAACGCUGGAGGCGUGCUUAACACAUGCAAGUCGAACGAUGAAAUGGAGCUUGCUCCAUGGAUUAGUGGCGAACGGGUGAGUAACACGUGAAUAACCUGCCCUUAAUUUUGGAAUAACCCAGGGAAACCUGGGCUAAUACCGGAUAAGUAAGCCUGUGGCAUCACAUGGUUUUGGAAAGUUUUUCGCUUAAGGAUGGAUUCGCGGCCUAUCAGCUUGUUGGUGAGGUAAUGGCUCACCAAGGCGACGACGGGUAGCCGGCCUGAGAGGGUAGAGGACCCAACCGGGUGUGAGACACGGCCCAGACUCCGUCGGGGGGCCGCAGUGGGGAAUUUUGCGCAAUGGACGAAAGACUUACGCAGCGACGCCUCGUGAGGGACGAAGGUCUUCGGAGUGUAAACCUCUUUCAGCAGGGACGAAGCGAAAGUGACGGUACCUGCAGAAGAAGCACCGGCUAACUAUGUGCCAGCCGCCGCAGUAA
RNAcentral lists this ribosomal RNA (482 nucleotides) under uncultured bacterium. Its description in RNAcentral is "partial 16S ribosomal RNA". It matches the Rfam family "Bacterial small subunit ribosomal RNA", at positions 28 to 523 of the family's 1533-position model. The record is from RNAcentral.